This 253-nucleotide ribosomal RNA is filed under the name uncultured bacterium. RNAcentral describes it as "partial 16S ribosomal RNA". It matches the Rfam family "Bacterial small subunit ribosomal RNA", at positions 524 to 776 of the family's 1533-position model. The record is from RNAcentral.
UACGUAGGGGGCAAGCGUUGUCCGGAAUCAUUGGGCGUAAAGAGCGUGUAGGCGGCCCGGUAAGUCCGCUGUGAAAGUCCAGGGCUCAACCCUGGGAUGCCGGUGGAUACUGUCGGGCUCGAGUCCGGAAGAGGAGUGUGGAAUUCCUGGUGUAGCGGUGAAAUGCGCAGAUAUCAGGAGGAACACCAAUGGCGAAGGCAGCACUCUGGGACGUGACUGACGCUGAGACGCGAAAGCGUGGGGAGCGAACGGG